This 467-nucleotide ribosomal RNA is filed under the name uncultured bacterium. RNAcentral describes it as "partial 16S ribosomal RNA". It matches the Rfam family "Bacterial small subunit ribosomal RNA", at positions 29 to 507 of the family's 1533-position model. The record is from RNAcentral.
ACGAACGCUGGCGGCGUGCUUAACACCUGCAAGUCGAACGGAAAGGCCCUGCUUUUGUGGGGUGCUCGAGUGGCGAACGGGUGAGUAACACGUGAGUAACCUGCCCUUGACUUUGGGAUAACUUCAGGAAACUGGGGCUAAUACCGGAUAGGAGCUCCUGCUGCAUGGUGGGGGUUGGAAAGUUUUGGCGGUUGGGGAUGGACUCGCGGCUUAUCAGCUUGUUGGUGGGGUAGUGGCUUACCAAGGCUUUGACGGGUAGCCGGCCUGAGAGGGUGACCGGCCACAUUGGGACUGAGAUACGGCCCAGACUCCUACGGGAGGCAGCAGUGGGGAAUAUUGCACAAUGGGCGGAAGCCUGAUGCAGCAACGCCGCGUGCGGGAUGACGGCCUUCGGGUUGUAAACCGCUUUCGCCUGUGACGAAGCGUGAGUGACGGUAAUGGGUAAAGAAGCACCGGCUAACUACGUG